GCCAAAGAAGAACAAAGGAGGAAUGGAAAAAAACAAGAACCCUAGGUGGAAAAAUUGAAGAAAAAGUGUGAGAUUUCGAGGGAUUAAGCUAAUAAAGGUAAAAUUUCUUGAUUUUGACUUGUGAUCUACCUUUCCCAUGCAUUUCUCCUUAUUUUCCAUGGUUAGAUUUCAUGUUUUCAUGGUGAAUUCAUGGCUGGUCAAAAUGGGUAUGGAGAGAGAAAGAUGUUAGAUUGAUUUGAUUUUAAGUCAUGUUAGUGUUUUUAGUUAGUUUAACAUAUUUAGAAACAAAACAACAAGAAAAGAAUUCAUUUUCCCCAUCAACUAUCAAUGGCCGAAUUUCCUAGGGAGGAUAUUGUGGCUGAAAUUGAUGAUAUUUCAUGAUAUUUUGGUGAUAUUUGAUGUUUGGUGAGACUAAAAAUUAAAUGAGAAAUUUUGGUGUGAAAAUCUGAAUUUUUGCUCAACGUAUAGACAAGUGUGAUUAUUGACCCGAAAUUGAUAAAUUGAAUCUCAUUCACAGUCACUGAGGUAAUUUAAGUAUAAUUGGAGUGUAGAAAGUGAGAAUAAUUGAUUUGGAGUUAAAUUGGAGAUUUUAGCCAAUUAGACCGAGUAUAAUGUGACUUAGGUCGAAUAUCACAUUUAAGCGAAUAAUCAGACAUUUUGCAUUCCAUAUCAUGCAUUAGUAGUCUAAAUUAGUUUAAUUUCGAUUUAGUACCAAUAUAAUAAGUUUCUCGAUUUUGUACUAUGUCAAGGUGGAGAGUCAUUUGACAAAGGUAAGGAAAUUGUACCCGAUGAUCGAUAAUCGGAGUACUUUAGAAAUUCGACUUCCGAAAUAGUGAGUGACCUUAUUAUCAUUUUAAUUAUCUAAAGUAUGUUUUAAUUCGGUUUUGGUAAAAUUUUAUGAAAAUGAGUUAAAUGGCAAAUUUUAGGUUUUAUAAACAAAAAUGAGUUUAAAUAAAAAGAUUUUAUAAAUUGUUUUGGAAAUUGAAAGAUGAUUUUGAAAAUAGAGUAAUUGGAGACCACUGAUAUGUUGUAAAUUUAAGAUUGAAUUGAUGGCUUAUGUUAUUGUGUUGGCAUGACUGGUUGGGCUGUGUUUUAUGAAUUGUAUGAAUUGUUUUAUUUUACCCUUGCAGGCUAGGUAGUAAUAUAAUAGCCUUGUCAUGCUAUCAAAAUUUUAUUGUAUGGUGGGUUUAGCUUACUACAGUAGGUGGGUUUUCGUGGACUAGCCUAUUAGAGGGGCACGGUAAACCCUGUUAUAUUUUACCUCGGUUGGAGAAGCGAGUAGGGUAACUCCCGAGGUAUGAUUUUAGAGUUCACUUCACGCCAAACCACCACGUGAAGUUGAGCUCGGCCAACGCCAAGGAACUGUUAUAUUUUCAAAAUGAAAACAUGUUUUAUGCGUACAUGACUUUUUAAUAGCCUUGGCUGACUCAGUUGGGAUAGCCCUCGACCAAGGUAUCUUAGAUAACUGAUUAUGAUAAUAAUUUUUUGCAUGAGCCAAGCUUUUUAAGAAAUUCAUAAGCCAUACUGAUUACUUGAUUUAAAUAAAUUGAUUUCAUUUGGUUGAAAUAAGUUGAAAAAUGAUAAAUUACAGUUUGAUGAAAAGUUUUAAUAGUCUCCUUUUACUCGCCUUUAGAUAUUUUAAAUGAUAUUUGUUUACUCACUAGGAUUUUAUAAUCUCACCACCCUUCUUUCCACCCAUUUCAGGCAUAAGGAUAGUCGGUAAAUAGCUCAUUUCAUCGAGGACUACAAUUAGAUUGGCAUCCUCAAAAUAUGUAGGUUCAAUUCUUUUGACACUUUUAGUCGUUCGUGAGCCCACGUGUCACUGCAAAUUUAAUUUUAUACUUUGGUUAUCUAUAUUACAAUAUUUAUGAAUUUAUUUUGCUUUUUCGCUGUAAAAAUUAUUUACGCA
RNAcentral lists this long non-coding RNA (1909 nucleotides) under Theobroma cacao (cacao). Its description in RNAcentral is "long non-coding RNA (TCAC_LNC005843)". Lineage: Eukaryota; Viridiplantae; Streptophyta; Magnoliopsida; Malvales; Malvaceae. The record is from RNAcentral.